RNAcentral lists this ribosomal RNA (500 nucleotides) under uncultured Glomeromycotina. Its description in RNAcentral is "partial small subunit ribosomal RNA". It matches the Rfam family "Eukaryotic small subunit ribosomal RNA", at positions 591 to 1092 of the family's 1831-position model. The record is from RNAcentral. Lineage: Eukaryota; Fungi; Glomeromycota.
CCAAUAGCGUAUAUUAAAGUUGUUGCAGUUAAAAAGCUCGUAGUUGAAUUUCGGGAUCAAUUUAUCGGUCGUGCCAAUGGUAUGAACUGGUACAAUUGGUUUCUCCCUUCUGACGAAGCAUGAUGUCAUUAAUUUGGUGUCGUGGGGAAUCAGGACUGUUACUUUGAAAAAAUUAGAGUGUUUAAAGCAGGCAUUAGCUUGAAUACAUUAGCAUGGAAUAAUGAAAUAGGACGUUUGAUCCUAUUUCGUUGGUUUCUAGGAUCGACGUAAUGAUUAAUAGGGAUAGUUGGGGGCAUUAGUAUUCAAUUGUCAGAGGUGAAAUUCUUGGAUUUAUUGAAGACUAACUACUGCGAAAGCAUUUGCCAAGGAUGUUUUCAUUAAUCAAGAACGAAAGUUAGGGGAUCGAAGACGAUCAGAUACCGUCGUAGUCUUAACCAUAAACUAUGCCGACUAGGGAUCGGAUGAUGUUAAUUUUUUAAUGACUCAUUCGGCGCCUUACG